ACUCCUAACCACAUAUUGAGCCAGACUAUACUAAUAGUAGGCCCCAUGCUAAAACUAGUAACAAGAAAAAUUCUCUCCCGCACCCCCGUGCAUCAGUAACAGAAAACCUGCUGACAAUUAACAGACUAAAACAAGACUAAAUAACCCCAUAUUAACACUAAACUGUCACACCAACACUGGCGUGCCACAAAGAAAGAUUAAAAGUCGCAGAAGGAACUCAGCAAAGUACUGUCCCAACUGUUUACCAAAAACAUAGCCUUUAGCAACAUUAGUAUUAAAGGUCCCGCCUGCCCAGUGAAAUUCUUUCAACGGCCGCGGUAUUCUAACCGUGCAAAGGUAGCGUAAUCAUUUGUCUCCCAAAUAGAGACCGGUAUGAACGGCUAAAUGAGGACAAACCUGUCUCCUGCAACUAAUCAGUGAAACUGAUCUCCCAGUACAAAAGCUGGCAUACCCACAUAAGACGAGAAGACCCUGUGGAGCUUAAAAUUAACCACUAACAGCCCUAGGCCCACUAGUAUAAAAUUUUAAGUUGGGGCGACUUCGGAACAAAACUAAACUUCCGAGCACAGAACCAUCAGUUCUAAACGAGGCCCACAAGCCAAAACAAAAGCCGACCCAGUCAUACUGACCAACGAACCAAGUUACCCCAGGGAUAACAGCGCAAUCUUCUUCAAGAGUCCCUAUCGACAAGAAGGUUUACGACCUCGAUGUUGGAUCAGGACACCCCGAUGGUGCAACCGCUAUUAAAGGUUCGUUUGUUCAACGAUUAAUAGU
RNAcentral lists this ribosomal RNA (774 nucleotides) under Tropidophorus hainanus. Its description in RNAcentral is "partial 16S rRNA". It matches the Rfam family "Bacterial large subunit ribosomal RNA", at positions 1548 to 2594 of the family's 2925-position model. The record is from RNAcentral. Lineage: Eukaryota; Metazoa; Chordata; Lepidosauria; Squamata; Scincidae.